This 433-nucleotide ribosomal RNA is filed under the name uncultured bacterium. Its description in RNAcentral is "partial 16S ribosomal RNA". It matches the Rfam family "Bacterial small subunit ribosomal RNA", at positions 29 to 507 of the family's 1533-position model. The record is from RNAcentral.
AACGAACGCUGGCGGCAUGCCUAACACAUGCAAGUCGAACGAUGCUUUCGGGCAUAGUGGCGCACGGGUGCGUAACGCGUGGGAAUCUGCCCUUGGGUUCGGAAUAACAGUGAGAAAUUGCUGCUAAUACCGGAUGAUGUCUUCGGACCAAAGAUUUAUCGCCCAGGGAUGAGCCCGCGUAGGAUUAGCUAGUUGGUGGGGUAAUGGCCUACCAAGGCGACGAUCCUUAGCUGGUCUGAGAGGAUGAUCAGCCACACUGGGACUGAGACACGGCCCAGACUCCUACGGGAGGCAGCAGUGGGGAAUAUUGGACAAUGGGCGCAAGCCUGAUCCAGCAAUGCCGCAUGAGUGAUGAAGGCCUUAGGGUUGUAAAGCUCUUUUACCCGGGAUGAUAAUGACAGUACCGGGAGAAUAAGCUCCGGCUAACUCCGUG